CAGAGAUGCCCUUCCGGGGUGGCAGUUUGGAACCGUCGCAAGUCCCAAUCUCCCAGCACGGCAGGGCAUCUCCUCGUUACGGCACGCUCACAACCCCCAGGUCAUCGGUGGAUCGAG
This is a small RNA of Serinicoccus sp., 117 nucleotides long. It matches the Rfam family "Actinobacteria sRNA Ms_IGR-7". Lineage: Bacteria; Bacillati; Actinomycetota; Actinomycetes; Micrococcales; Ornithinimicrobiaceae. The record is from Rfam.